RNAcentral lists this unclassified non-coding RNA (293 nucleotides) under uncultured fungus. RNAcentral describes it as "partial contains small subunit ribosomal RNA, internal transcribed spacer 1, and 5.8S ribosomal RNA". The stretch from base 1 to 73 matches the Rfam family "Eukaryotic small subunit ribosomal RNA", at positions 1759 to 1831 of the family's 1831-position model. Lineage: Eukaryota; Fungi. The record is from RNAcentral.
GCAAACUUGGUCAUUUAGAGGAAGUAAAAGUCGUAACAAGGUUUCCGUAGGUGAACCUGCGGAAGGAUCAUUACAAAGGUUUCAAAAUUGCCCGUGGUACCCUCCACUUUGCUGGAGGGUAGAUCACGGCAAUUUCAACCACGAUCAUCCACCGUGUGCACUCAUUGAACUAAUAGUUCUAAAAAAAUCUUUCCAAUGUCUUUUUAACUGUCUGUCUGAUUUUUAUAUAACAAAUUUAUAAUACAACUUUCAACAACGGAUCUCUUGGCUCUCGCAUCGAUGAAGAACGCAGC